This 465-nucleotide ribosomal RNA is filed under the name Vreelandella stevensii. RNAcentral's name for it is "partial 16S ribosomal RNA". It matches the Rfam family "Bacterial small subunit ribosomal RNA", at positions 338 to 795 of the family's 1533-position model. Lineage: Bacteria; Pseudomonadati; Pseudomonadota; Gammaproteobacteria; Oceanospirillales; Halomonadaceae. The record is from RNAcentral.
CCUACGGGGGGCAGCAGUGGGGAAUAUUGGACAAUGGGGGCAACCCUGAUCCAGCCAUGCCGCGUGUGUGAAGAAGGCCCUCGGGUUGUAAAGCACUUUCAGUGAGGAAGAACGCCUGGUGGUUAAUACCCAUCAGGAAAGACAUCACUCACAGAAGAAGCACCGGCUAACUCCGUGCCAGCAGCCGCGGUAAUACGGAGGGUGCGAGCGUUAAUCGGAAUUACUGGGCGUAAAGCGCGCGUAGGUGGCUUGAUAAGCCGGUUGUGAAAGCCCCGGGCUCAACCUGGGAACGGCAUCCGGAACUGCCAAGCUAGAGUGCAGGAGAGGAAGGUAGAAUUCCCGGUGUAGCGGUGAAAUGCGUAGAGAUCGGGAGGAAUACCAGUGGCGAAGGCGGCCUUCUGGACUGACACUGACACUGAGGUGCGAAAGCGUGGGUAGCAAACAGGAUUAGAUACCCCUGUAGUC